CAUUUCGUCUUAGCCACGCAGAAGUCGCGUGUCUAGGUGAGUCGCGGUGGGUCCUCGCUUGCAGUUCAGCGACCACGUUUGUUUCGACGCCGGACCGCGUAAGAGACGAUGAUGUUGGGCACGGAAGGUGGAGAGGGAUUCGUGGUGAAGGUCCGGGGCUUGCCCUGGUCUUGCUCGGCCGAUGAAGUGCAGAGGUUUUUUUCUGACUGCAAAAUUCAAAAUGGGGCUCAAGGUAUUCGUUUCAUCUACACCAGAGAAGGCAGACCAAGUGGCGAGGCUUUUGUUGAACUUGAAUCAGAAGAUGAAGUCAAAUUGGCCCUGAAAAAAGACAGAGAAACUAUGGGACACAGAUAUGUUGAAGGUUUGAUUUACAUUGCCCUAGUUACAGUAAAUAAAGCAUUAAACAAUAGAAGUCUCACCCCUUCUGAAUUUUAGGUAUUUGACUGCAUGGAAAUGGUCAUCUAAGGGAGUUUGUGGCAGCUCUUCCUAGCUUAUCUAAAGACCCAGGAAGUCUGAACUUUGUUAUCUAAUUUUCCAAAAGUGACUAAUUCUAAGCACCUCUUACAGUAUUCAAGUCAAACAACGUUGAAAUGGAUUGGGUGUUGAAGCAUACUGGUCCAAAUAGUCCUGACACGGCCAAUGAUGGCUUUGUACGGCUUAGAGGACUUCCCUUUGGAUGUAGCAAGGAAGAAAUUGUUCAGUUCUUCUCAGGGUUGGAAAUCGUGCCAAAUGGGAUAACAUUGCCGGUGGACUUCCAGGGGAGGAGUACGGGGGAGGCCUUCGUGCAGUUUGCUUCACAGGAAAUAGCUGAAAAGGCUCUAAAGAAACACAAGGAAAGAAUAGGGCACAGGUAUAUUGAAAUCUUUAAGAGCAGUAGAGCUGAAGUUAGAACUCACUAUGAUCCACCACGAAAGCUUAUGGCCAUGCAGCGGCCAGGUCCUUAUGACAGACCUGGGGCUGGUAGAGGGUAUAACAGCAUUGGCAGAGGAGCUGGCUUUGAGAGGAUGAGGCGUGGUGCUUAUGGUGGAGGCUAUGGAGGCUAUGAUGAUUACAAUGGCUAUAAUGAUGGCUAUGGAUUUGGGUCAGAUAGAUUUGGAAGAGGUAAGGUAAGAAUUGAAUUUCUCAGUUGAAGGAUGCUUACACUCUUGUCCAUCUAGACCUCAAUUACUGUUUUUCAGGAAUGUCUGAUCACAGAUACGGGGAUGGUGGCUCUACUUUCCAGAGCACAACAGGACACUGUGUACACAUGCGGGGAUUACCUUACAGAGCUACUGAGAAUGACAUUUAUAAUUUUUUUUCACCGCUCAACCCUGUGAGAGUACACAUUGAAAUUGGUCCUGAUGGCAGAGUAACUGGUGAAGCAGAUGUCGAGUUCGCAACUCAUGAAGAUGCUGUGGCAGCUAUGUCAAAAGACAAAGCAAAUAUGCAACACAGAUAUGUAGAACUCUUCUUGAAUUCUACAGCAGGAGCAAGCGGUGGUGCUUACGAACACAGAUAUGUAGAACUCUUCUUGAAUUCUACAGCAGGAGCAAGCGGUGGUGCUUAUGGUAGCCAAAUGAUGGGAGGCAUGGGCUUGUCAAACCAGUCCAGCUACGGGGGCCCAGCCAGCCAGCAGCUGAGUGGGGGUUACGGAGGUGGCUACGGUGGCCAGAGCAGCAUGAGUGGAUACGACCAAGUUUUACAGGAAAACUCCAGUGAUUUUCAAUCAAACAUUGCAUAGGUAACCAAGGAGCAGUGAACAGCAGCUACUACAGUAGUGGAAGCCGUGCAUCUAUGGGCGUGAACGGAAUGGGAGGGAUGUCUAGCAUGUCCAGUAUGAGUGGUGGAUGGGGAAUGUAAUUGAUCGAUCCUUAUCACUGACUCUUGGUCAACCUUUUUUUUUUUUUUUUUAAGAAAAAAACUUCAGUUUAACAGUUUCUGCAAUACAAGCUUGUGAUUUAUGCUUACUCUAAGUGGAAAUCAGGAUUGUUAUGAAGACUUAAGGCCCAGUAUUUUUGAAUACAAUACUCAUCUAGGAUGUAACAGUGAAGCUGAGUAAACUAUAACUGUUAAACUUAAGUUCCAGCUUUUCUCAAGUUAGUUAUAGGAUGUACUUAAGCAGUAAGCGUAUUUAGGUAAAAGCAGUUGAAUUAUGUUAAAUGUUGCCCUUUGCCACGUUACAUUGAACACUGUUUUGGAUGCAUGUUGAAAGACAUGCUUUUAUUUUUUUGUAAAACAAUAUAGGAGCUGUGUCUACUAUUAAAAGUGAAACAUUUUGGCAUGUUUGUUAAUUCUAGUUUGAUUUAAUAACCUGUAAGGCACGUAAGUUUAAGCUUUUUUUUUUUUUUUUAAGUUAAUGGGAAAAAUUUGAGACGCAAUACCAAUACUUAGGAUUUUGGUCUUGGUGUUUGUAUGAAAUUCUGAGGCCUUGAUUUAAAUCUUUCAUUGUAUUGUGAUUUCCUUUUAGGUAUAUUGCGCUAAGUGAAACUUGUCAAAUAAAUCCUCCUUUUAAAAACUG
RNAcentral lists this small RNA (2497 nucleotides) under Pan troglodytes (chimpanzee). Its description in RNAcentral is "retained intron". Lineage: Eukaryota; Metazoa; Chordata; Mammalia; Primates; Hominidae. The record is from RNAcentral.